This is a long non-coding RNA of Hemicordylus capensis (graceful crag lizard), 4883 nucleotides long. RefSeq lists it as uncharacterized. NCBI's taxonomy places the organism in Eukaryota, Metazoa, Chordata, Lepidosauria, Squamata, Cordylidae. The transcript is spliced from 2 exons. The record is from RefSeq and is a predicted model, not a curated record.
AAGCACUCGCAAGAAAGAGGAUCAGGAAAUCAGAUCUAGUAACAGGAUCUAAGAUUGUCAGAUACACACGCGCACACGCAGACACAUUCAACCCUCCUCCCUGUUCAGCUGGGAUCUGUUUUUGCAGUGAUGCACCAGGGGCAAUUCAUGGCAAGCUGCUUAGGUGUAUGAAGUUGCAGACGUGUAGACCCUCCAGGUUAGAAGACGGGAGCGAGCGAGCUAGGAGCGCCGCGCAAAGCUGGCCCCUGGCUGGAGGUUUAGGAAGAAAGAUGCGCUCCAAACUCUGAGCGCUAGAAAAGAAGAUCGAACCGGGGUUGGGGGAUUGUCUCGGCGCAAAGUAACUUUAGGGCAGCCUGCAUGCAAGCCCAGCAGGUGGCGGGGGCAUAGGGCGAGAGAGAAACAGAAGGUAAAGGGGCCCUGUGUGCGGUGCGAAGUGUGCAGCCGAAGCUCUAGUUGUAAUAGGCAAUCCAACUUUUCCUAACUUGUCCGGGCUGCGCCCCAGGAAGGUCGUCGCCCCGCUGCAGCCACUGGAGGCGCCGAAAUGCCCAGCGCGGCAGCGGCGACAAACCAACAGCAAGCGAGUUCUGGAGGCAGACCGGGGAAACGCAGCGCCGGCACCUGGGAAAGGGUAGUGGCGGUGUAUGAUUUGUGUUUCUGUGAGACUGAUUGACACGGGGCGGAGAGGGACGGAGAGAGACGAGGAAAAGUGUCCCCAUUCAAAAGGGAUCUGUGCGCUCAGCUCCCGAUGGCUUUCUUUAGGAGGCUCUGGAGGAAGGGAGUGAAUUGAAAAGAAAGAAGGAACACUCUUCCUCUCAGUUGGUUUCAAGAAAGCGCCUGGGAAAAAUGCGAGUGUCUGGUUGUUUAUUUGCCUACGCUGGUUCCUCCUAGGAACACACCCAGAGGCUAGCAUGCCAAUGAGUUGUUUAACACAAAUUACCUGCUACUGCGUGCUUUCUGGAAUAAAAGUGCUGGGUGGGUUAACACUCCAGAAAAGUUACUCUUUGUGCAUUCAAAUCUUUGAACUGAAACUACUUUCGACGAAGCUUAUAAAAGAAGAGAUGAGAAUGCUGUUAAUCUAUAAGUGUUCAUAUCCCCCCUCCCCCAAGCUCUGUACUGUUGCAAAGUUUGCCUCUUUUGAGGAAAAAAGUGGCUGUCCCAUAAAGACAUAGCACCAUGAGUGACUACAGUGGCAAUACUGGUAAACCUGUCUUUCUUUAGGAGGCAGGGUGGGAGGGAGGGUAUUUUGCAGCCCCACUAAUCUGCUAUGCUGCUUUUGCUAAAUUCUGUUCAGUAUAAAUCCAAAUACUAAGGCCUUUAUUCUCCUAAUGCAAGCUAUGCAAAAAGUUGGGAAAGCAGCACAUGUACAUUAACUUAAAUAAAAUUUCUACCAUUUCCAAUUAUAUAUAGAUAUAGGUCUGGUGACAUUGUCCCUUAUUUUUAUAGAUAAGUAAACCAAGGAAGGGAAAGGGUUAUGUUACCUGCUUAAAUCCACACAAUGAGUCAGUGGUAAAGCUGUGAAUAAAAUCCAGAGCUCCUUCUGACUCUCAGACCUGUGGUCUAACCACUAAACAAUAGUCAACCCUUGUAAUGCAUAAUCUAACCACUUAUUCACUCAUUUUAUUCUAUUUAUAAAUAUGGGCUCUGAAUGGAUCACUAAUAAAACACUUCCAUAACCUCAAUAAUCUAUUCUUAUACCCACAUUAUUGGAGUUUUAAAAAAUAUUCCUAUGAAUUGUAACCCCUAACAACCAGAGGAAACUAUUUAUUAGGAUGAAAUACAGGUUCCACUAUAGUUAAUGUUUUUUUUAAAAGGCCUACACUUUAACCUUCAUUCCCUUAGACACGUAGUAAAACUCUAUUUUUCUCCAACUCUUUAUUAUAUGUAUGUUCCAAUUAACUGAAUUUAUUCUGGCUCCUUGUCAAUCUUAUGUAAAAAGGAUCCCAGUGAUCCAAAUAUUUGGAUCAUGAUAUCUCCAUUUUAAGGCACAUUGGUUUCAAUGGAAAGUCAGCCACAUGCUUGAAUAUCUCCCAUUGAAGUUUAAUGUGCUUAACUUUGAAUAGAUAACUCUCUUAGAAUACAAAAGGCAAUGUGGUCCAGCGGAGAGAGAUCUGCCCUUGGAUCUGGUAAAAAUAGGCUUAUGCUCACCAGGUGCCCUAGACUCACUUUGUGGCUUUGGGAAAGUCAAAGUCUUCCAGUAUAGAUUUACCACUGGCAAAAAUGGCACAAUAGUAACUUACCUCAGACCUGCUAUGAAGGAAAUAUGUAAUCAACAAAUUAUAAAAAUAGUAUAAUCUUGCUACCUGGGCAAAGAGGCACAUUUUAAGCAGUUUACAGGGUAGAACAAUUGUUCCUAUCCCUUCCAGCACAGUGUCUUUUCCAGUAGCUAUUCAUUGUUAUCUCCCUUGUGGCUUUUUUGUCUUUAGGCUGAGCCCCUUUGGGACAAAGAACAAUUAUUUCUUUUACUGUGUGAACUGCUUUGAGAACAUUUUUGUUGAAACAUUGUAUAUAAAUAUUCAUAAAAAUAAUAAAAUAUAUAAAACACUUUGCAAAUUAAAAUAAUGAAUUUUUUCAGCUCUGUUGUAAUAAUUAAUGGAUUUGAAGUGGAGAACUGGGAGCUGGGAAGAAGAAGAAGGUGCUUAGCCAUAGCUUCCAAACUGGCCCUUCCAAUGCAGAGGAUCCUAAUGUUUGGAAAGGCAAACUCUGUUUGGAAGAAAACAGCUUAUGGGAAUCAUUUUGAGUGGAAAACUCGUAGGUAAGGAAAGGGUAAAGUACUCCCUCUCACGUGCUGCUUCACCACUCCCUACCCCUAUGGAGGCAUAGGCUGCUUUUCCCUAUGUGAUAGUAAUUUUAUUUCACAUAUUAGCAUGUAACAUCUAGUUAGGCUCUCAUUCACAGUAUAAUAGUGACCUAUCUUACAGGAUUCUUGAGAGGGUGAAUGAAUUAAAUAGGUACAUUAUGUAAUGAUUCUGCUGCUUUAUUCAUUUUACAUUGUAUUUGUUGUGUUAUAUUUUCAUUUCUAUGAUUCUGUUUUAUUAGCUGGAUUGAUGAUAUGUGUAUUGAACUACAGGAUACAGAUGCAUUAAACAAACAAAAAUGUUAGCUUUUCCGGAGCACUUGGAUCUUGUCAACAGUGUAACAAAUUAUUAGUAAUAGUACAUCAGAUGGUAUUCCAUAUCCUCUUUCAGAAAAGUGCAUCCACUAUAUCAUGUUUACUAUUAGAAAAAUUGUCCACAUUUAACCAAAGUUUAUAUUAUAUAAUGACUGUAUGGCAUGAGCACUCUUGCUGCAACCUCCAAGCCUUGGAGUUUCCCCAUAAACUUUGUUGAAUUUAUCUGAGCCAAUUCCAGAGUGAGUACUUGAUGGAUAGCUGAACAAGUACACCUUGAUAGUUCAGCAGCAGACACACCAUAGCAGGUUGACUGGGAGUGUCCAUUGCAGUUAAUGACCCUAUAAAAUAGAGUAGAACACAAAGCUCUUUUCAGAAAUGGAAAUAAUGAUGAAUUCCAUCCAUUGGGUGAUGACACUAUCCUGCUAAUUAAAAUUAUAUACGCAUACUUCUUCUGUCUAUUGAUCAAUGUAUAUGUACAAAACCACAAUGUUACCCUUAUAUUUUUCACACAUUUUGCUGAUGUUACACACAAAAUUAGAAGAUAGACACUUUGGUUUUUUUACUCCAAAUACUCAUUAAGUUUUUAGCAUUAGAUUGAAAGUUAUAAAAUAAAAUGGGUCAAAACAUUAUAUCCAAUAAAUUAAAGCAAAUUACUGAUAGUUUGAAAAAGUAUAUGAAUUUAAGUCUGUUUUAGUUACUUAAACAGGAUUUAAAUUUUCAGAAUUGCCAAGGACCACAGUGGGAAGAUAUUUUUAUCACAGGUUUGUCAUAAAGAAAAACUAUGUAGACACUACAGAAGUAUUCAUCAAGCAAUAUCUCCUUCUGUUUAAGCAUGACCUUUAGGUGAUCAUUUAAUUGGUGCUAUUUUGUUUAUUUAAUUGUGGAGUUUCCUCUGUUUGUGGCUUAGAACAAGAAUUCUAUAAAAAAGGGAAGUCACUUUUAAAGUUGCAAUAUGGGAUUUUGCAUCCCCGUGUCUGCUCAGCUGAAGUGAUAAAGGCUUGCAUGUCCAUUUGGUAUAUAUUAGUGGGGAACAUAACUGCAGCUUAACAUAUUGUUCAUUUUCAACACUGUCACGUUGCACUCAUAUAGAGCACAUUUUAAUUUCUUGAUCAGUAAUCAAAUGGAAGUUUCUUUGGCAAAUUAAAGCAGGAGGUAUUUUUGUGCAGAAGAAAGGACAUGGGAAUACGACGCCACCUUUUGGCAGAAACAGUAAACAGAUGCAUAUCCCAAAGAAAAGCUCUUCUAAUGUGCAAUUACACUUUAAAUUGCAGUAAUGGCAAAGUACUUAUGCCUAAUUCAUUAUAUUUUAAAUAAUUAAGAGGAAAAGCAUUGCAAAUAAAUAUUUGCAAAGGAAAAGAUGGCUUAGAUGUACUUGAAAAAUAAUCUUUAAUGACAGCAAGUGAGCUAUGCCAUUAUAUCAUGUUAUUACUGAGUAGACUCAAUUGUCAAAAAAAACAGCAGCAAAAUUAUAACCUUCAUGUUGUAGCUUAUCUACCCAAAAUAAAAUGGAUUAAGUUAAAAAUGUGUGUGAGGUAGAAAGGGGACGGGUUGUUUUAAGUGAGUUGUUUUAAGUGAAUUGUUUUAAUUCUCCCUUGCUUCCAUCGUUCCCCCCCCAACCCCAUUUGGGAGAGAGGCUGGAAAGAAUACAGACUAGAAUUAUUAGAGAACAUUUUCCAGUACACAGAAAUGCUGGGAUUCUUCUCCCCUCUUUGGACAAAAGAACAGGCAUUCUGUAAAAAGUCCUUAAAUAAACUUUUGUUUAUGGUUCAAAAGA